This 4194-nucleotide long non-coding RNA is filed under the name Sus scrofa (pig). RNAcentral describes it as "lncRNA (ENSSSCG00005033617.1)". Lineage: Eukaryota; Metazoa; Chordata; Mammalia; Artiodactyla; Suidae. The record is from RNAcentral.
GGAGCGUGUUUUCUAAGGAUCUUCAGAUUUGAGUCCUUGGCAUUAGAAAUAAAGCACAUUUUUUUUUUCUUCCCAUGAGUCUGAUUCUUCCAACAGAAUGGAAAAACAAUCCUUUGGUAUAUUAACUUGUCUCAAAAUCUACCUCCAUUGAUCAGUUAAUAGAGAUUUUGCCUUUGCAUUAAUAAUUUUUCUCACAGAAAGCAGAUUAAUAACCAAGAAACAUUACUAAAGGAAUCUGCUUAUGAAAUCUGAAAGAAUAAUAGGUCAUAAUACUAAUCAUAUGUAAUAAAACUAUGAUCAUUCUUUGACAAGGAAAUUAACAUUGUAAAAAAAAUUUAGACUCUGACUUUUGGUACCAUAAUAAAAGUCUAUAUAUGUAUACUGCUCUGUAAUUAAAAAAAAACUCUUAUACAUUAAUCCUUCUUGAGAUGCAUAAUAAUCCUUUAAAUGGAAUAGACAUUAUUUAAACUGAACCUGAGAAAUAGACAUAUUCAUUACAGUUCAGCAAGAAAAUGGCAAAGAAUCAACCGCAGCCUACUUUUUUCUGGGUCUUAAGUGCUCUUGCCACCAUCAUGUGAUGUCAUGUGCUUUUGCCAUAGUUAAUAAUAAUGGCAUUGUGCCCCAGCCUGAGGCACACUUGAGUUUCAUAUUUGUUCAUAGAAAAAAAUCUGAUUUCACCACCAGUCAUAGGAUCUAGACUCAAGGCCUUUCCUCACUGAUUACUUUUCAUUAUAGAAAUAGAAACAGAACCUUGAUUCCUACAUUUGCAUGCGGGUGGGGUUGGCCUUUAGCUUUAACACAACAAUACUUUGGUAAAUGGUGUCAUAAGCCACAGAAGCUAGUGGUAAUCUAAUCUACCAUUUAUCUCUUGCCAAGUUCAUGUUGAGUAAAAUCUUCAUAGGGAUUUAUGCUUCUGGAGGCCAAGGUGGUUUACAUGGCUGCCUGAGGAUCCCUGAGGGUAGAGGAGGCCCUGACCUGCCCCUGCUUCCUGUGUUCCUUACUCAUUUCCUCAUCUAGAAAUACCUUGCAGUGUUGGGCUUUCGGGGCACACAGGUUCGUGUUGGUUGAAGAGGCUGGAAGGGGACUUUUCCUGUUGAGAUUUGCAUAGUUGGUGCUUCAGAGCGUUCCUAUCCGCCACGCCUUGCUUUUCCUUCAGUUCCGUCUUAGCUAGUAGAAGACUCUUCUUAAGCACGACAAAAUUCUUGAGGUGCAGUCUCCUUUGAAGUCAGAGUCCAAAUCCAUUGUAUAUUUUCAUAGACUCUUUUAGGUCUUUAAAGAACAUUUUUGGUGGUACUAUACUUAGAUCAUCAUAGAAAUGAAAAUAUUUUUAAUUUAAAAAAGUAUCAGAUUUGUUAACCACUGCACCACGACGGGAACUCCUAUUCCAAAUCUUUUAUUACAUAAAAGAUGCUCAUAUAAUAUUGAGUGUGAAAAACUAGGUGCAGAGCAGUGUGAAUAUUGUGAUCCUAAUUUCUUGAAAACCAUACAAAAAUUAAAAAAAGAACCAAUAGUAAUUUUUAAUUAAUAAUGUGUUGCCAGGCAUUGUUUUACGUGCUUCAUGUGUAUCCACUCAGUUAAUGCUUAUAUCAACCCUAAGAGAUAGGUACUGUUUUUAUUUUUGUUUUACAGAUGAGGACAUUGAGGUAUAUGAAAGUAAGUUUGUCUAGAGUUACAGAGAAAGGAUUGGAGUCACCGACUAGGAGGAAACAGUUCAAAAUAUCAAUAGUGAUUAUUUCUGGACAGUGGUGUUAUAGGUCAAUAUAAUUCUUUACAUCUAUGAUACAGAAUCUCUAUUCUUGAUGUAAUUAGUAAUAGCAUUUUUAAAAGAUAUUGAAGCAUGUUUGGAAUCUAGAAAAACAACGAGUACGUUUGUAGGUUUGAAUUUCAAAGAAUGCCUUUUCUUUCAUAUAUCUGAAACAGACAUUGUAUUUGAUUAAAAGGGGUGGGGGAGACCCAAAACCAAUCCUUUCUAUCACUACGAUCUCUCUAUGUGAUAACCUCUCCGUAUAUGUUUAUCAGUUUUCUUUUAUGGAUAAGGAGAACAAGACCUUCUUUAGUUCAUGAUCAAACAUUAUAAAGCACAAUCCAGGAAACUGGUUUUGAUCAAACCAGGUUUUGUUUGAAUGCUGAAGUACUUCACCGGUCUUAGAAAGUAUAAAGGUACAUACGCAAUAGAACAUCUUCAGGAAAUGGACACUUUCCUUUCUGGAAAGUACAGCCUCAAAGGCAAAAAUACUUAAGAACAAUAUGUUCUCUGUUGUUGUGUUUUAACUUGCAACCCUUCUCUCUUGCUUUCAUUUCCACUCUUCCUUUCCCUUCAGAAAACCACCCAAUCAACCAACUAAUUAGCCUCAAUUUGUUAAAGGUUGAUAACAUUUUGAGUUUCAUUAGCAAUGAUGGCUGUACUUUGCUACAGUGUGCCAGGCAUUCUGCUGAAUGCUUUCUGUGAGUCAGCAAUUAUAGAUUAGAUGCCUAGGGUUCGAAUGUGGCUCAGGGUUUGGCCCACAGUAAGACCACAGUGUUUGGAAUCGAAUUAUUUGGAGAUAUGAUCUAAAAUUCUUGAUUUGUAUUUUUCGUCGAAAAGAAUUGGACCUCCUAGCAAUCCCCUCAACUUUGUUUAUAUUCCUUGCCAGGCUCCUGUUGUCUUUUUUCUUUUUUGGAUCCCUGAUGUUAUUUUAUAAGUCCACUUAAACUAGAGGGGGAGCAGCUGGGUCAAGGAUCCAUCAUUAGUAAAAAGUCCUGUUGGACUUGGGAGCCUGUGUGCUUGCUGCUCUUCUGCUCUCAUAGCUCUUCGUGGCCACUCAGUUUCCAUGCUGGGCAUGACUGUUGUGACUCAUGUCACAGUCUUUUGUCAGGGUCUUAGUCAAGUCAGAUGGCCUUUCUAGUUACUUAGUCCCUUCCUAUCCUCCUCAGAAGGGAUAUGUGUGGCUGCUUUGUUUCUUCGGUUUUGAAUAAAUUAUUAUUACUAUUUUUGCUUUUUACGGCCUCAUGUGUGGCAUAUGGAGGUUCCCAGACUAGGAGUAAAAUUGGAAUUACAGCUGCCGGCCCAUGCCAUAGCCACAGCAAUGCAGGAACUGAGCCACAUCUGCAACCUAACCCACAGCUCACAGCAAUGCCAGAUCCUUAACCCACUGAGCAAGGCCAGGGAUCGAACCUGCAACUUCAUGAUUCCUAGUCAGAUUCGUUUCUGCUGCCCUACAACGGGAACUCCAAAUAAAUUAUUUUUUGAGGAUGAGGCAGAAUAUGGUUAGUUUGAAAGGAGCCAUGGUUUUGAGAAUAACAUAGUUUAAGAAUGAGAACAUUAGUCAUGAGAUCCUGGUAGACUGUCAGAUGCUGGGAAGACUUGGCCAUGUGACAGCUCCAUGUGGAUAAUGAUGAUUGGGGGUUUGUGUUUGUUUUCCUAAGAAAUUCACUAUUUCACCACCUUUACAGGAAAUUAUACCCAUCAUUCCUUCAACUCUGUACAGUUUUUUAUUUUUAAAAUAAAAAUACAUUAAAUUUUUUUUUUAAUGUAGAAGUAUAUAGUGAAGAGGAAAGGCACUUGUUUAUUUGAAUAAUCAGGUAAUAGACGUGAAAGGAAUUACAAGUCAUGGACUGGUUGUUCCAGCCCCAUCUCUGCUCCCACAGGAAGGCUCACAGUAAACAGUGGCAAACUUGUAAACAAUGGAAAAUGAGGUGUAUGUCUCCGCUGGAUUCCAGAUCGUUCCUGGUUGUUUAGUUGCUAAUGGUGUCAGAGCACCCAGGUCUCCCUGCAUGGAUUCUCUCUGGAUGUUGUUUCCACAGGAGAGGGACUCUUAACGCUGACUCGAAGACAGUUUGAGUGUAUUAUGGCUGUGGCCUAAAAGCUGACAUUCAGAAGUAAACUGAAAGCUGAUGUGUACUCAGGAAAGGGUUUGUUGAUGUGGCAUCUGCUUUUCGAUGCUGAGAAUCUAGUUACAUAUCUCAGAGAAAAGCUUUCAGGUUUUGCCCUGCCUUUGGAAAACAUUUGAAAAGUGAGCAAAUGAGGUUGUUCCUGCUGUGGUGCAGUGGGUUAAUAAUCUGAUGUUGCCUCUGGUGGCAAGGGCUUGAUUCCCCGGCCCUGUGCAGUGAGUUAAGGAUCCGGUGUUGCAGCUGCGGGUUGGAUUUGAUAUCUGGCCAAGGAACUUUCAUAUGUGCAGGUACAGCCAAAAAAAAAAAAAAAAAAAAAAAAAAAAA